AUGGCGGGGCCGGCGGGAGGGCGGGAGCUGCCGGACACGCCGACGUGGGCGGUGGCGCUCGUUUGCGCCGUCAUGAUACUCGUCUCGGUCGCCAUGGAGCACGCCCUCCACAACCUCGGCCACUGGUUCCACAAGCGGCACAAGAAGGCCAUGGGGGAGGCGCUGGAGAAGAUGAAGGCGGAGCUCAUGCUGGUGGGCUUCAUAUCCCUGCUCCUCACCGUGGCGCAGGACCCCAUCUCCAAGAUAUGCAUCUCCGUGGAGGCCGGCAGCAAGAUGCUCCCGUGCAAGCUGCCCGAAGCUGAUUACGCUGGCGACGAUGCCAAGGGCAGCCGCCGGAGGCUCCUCUGGCUCCAAGGCGACACCCACCGCCGGUUCCUGGCUGCCCCGGCCGGAGAGGACGUCUGCGCCAAACAGGUGGCGCUGAUGUCGGCCGGGAGCAUGCACCAGCUGCACAUAUUCAUCUUCGUGCUCGCCGUCUUCCACGUCUUGUACAGCGUGGUCACCAUGGCCGAGCGGGAUAAACGAGUUAUACCCUCCAGUAGGCCACGCAGAGGCCGCGGCAUUGGUGGCAGCAGCGACGUCCUCGGCGACCUUCUUGUCGGCUUCAGCUUUCUCGGCGGCGGCACGAUCGGCGUCGGUGGACAUGGUGAUGACGAAGGCGACGCGGACGUAGAGGAAGAGCGGGAUAAACGAGUUAUACCCUCCAGUAGGCCACGCAGAGGCCGCGGCAUUGGUGGCAGCAGCGGCGUCCUCGGCGACCUUCUUGUCGGCUUCAGCUUUCUCGGCGGCGGCACGGUCGGCGUCGGUGGACAUGGUGAUGACGAAGGCGACGCGGACGUAGAGGAAAUGAAGCAAUGGAAGAAGUGGGAGUCGGAGACCGCCUCGCUGGAGUAUCAGUUCGCCAAUGGUCAGGAUCUAUCUACUCUGCAUUUUCUUACUGAAACGGCUUCAUCGCAGAAGAGCAGGUUCGACUUCCACAAGUACAUCAAGAGGUCGCUGGAGGACGACUUCAAGGUCGUCGUCGGCAUCAGUCUCAAGCUCUGGUUCGUGGCGGUCCUCAUACUCUUCCUUGAUUUCCACGAUCCUGUUGUGGGUCGGGACCAAGCUGGAGAUGGUGAUCAUAUGGAGAUGGCCCAGGAGAUCCAGGACCGGGAGAGCGUCGUCAAGGGGGCUCCCGCCGUCGAGCCCAGCAACAAGUACUUCUGGUUCGACCGCCCCGACUGGGUCCUUUUCCUCAUACACCUCACACUCUUCCAGAACGCGUUUCAGAUGGCACAUUUCGUGUGGACAGUGGCCACGCCUGACUUGAAGAAAUGCUACCAUCAGAAAAUGGGAGUGAGCAUCGCCAAGGUGGUGCUGGGGGUGGCCGCCCAGAUCAUGUGCAGCUACAUCACCUUCCCGCUCUACGCGCUCGUCACGCAGAUGGGCUCACACAUGAAGAGAAGCGUCUUCAACGAGCAGACGGCCAAGGCGCUCACCAACUGGCGAAAGGUGGAGAAGAAGAAGGCCCGGGACGCGGACAUGCUGAGGGCGCAGAUGAGUCAAGGCUCGUCGCCGGUGCACCUGCUCCACAAUGCCGGGGCGCGGUCCGACGAUCCCCGGAGCGCGCCGGCGUCGCCGAGGGCCGAGAAGGGGGGCGGGGGCGUGCAGCAUCCGGCGCGCAGGGUGCCUCCUUGUGACGGGUGGAGGUCGGCCUCGUUGCCGGCCCUCGACGCUCACAUCACCGGUGCAGAUUUUUGCUUCAGCACGCAACGUUGA
RNAcentral lists this ribosomal RNA (1758 nucleotides) under Triticum aestivum (bread wheat). RNAcentral describes it as "partial small subunit ribosomal RNA". The record is from RNAcentral. Lineage: Eukaryota; Viridiplantae; Streptophyta; Magnoliopsida; Poales; Poaceae.